This 357-nucleotide ribosomal RNA is filed under the name uncultured bacterium. Its description in RNAcentral is "partial 16S ribosomal RNA". It matches the Rfam family "Bacterial small subunit ribosomal RNA", at positions 338 to 692 of the family's 1533-position model. The record is from RNAcentral.
CCUACGGGAGGCAGCAGUGAGGAAUAUUGGUCAAUGGACGGAAGUCUGAACCAGCCAUGCCGCGUGAAGGAAGACGGCUCGAUGAGUUGUAAACUGCUUUUGUACAAGGGUAAACCGGAAUACGUGUAUGCAGCUGAAAGUACUGUACGAAUAAGGAUCGGCUAACUCCGUGCCAGCAGCCGCGGUAAUACGGAGGAUCCAAGCGUUAUCCGGAGUUAUUGGGUUUAAAGGGUGCGUAGGCGGAUUGAUAAGUUAGAGGUGAAAUGUCCGUGCUGAACCCGGGAACUGCCUCUCAUACUGUUGAUCUAGAGCGUAGAUGCGGUAGGCGGAAUGUGUGGUGUAGCGGUGAAAUGCUUA